AUGGGGAUGUGUUCAAGGCAAGACCGAAUUCAGAAGGAUAUCGACGUCGUGAUCCAGAAGUCCAGAGCUGAGGACUGCCUGUUUGCAGGGCCCGCCUGGCAGGACGACUGAGCAAGUCCUUGGAAAACCAGAGAUAUUAGAGCGGUGAAUCGCGCUGGUCACGUUGGACACCUGCGCGUUAGGAGAUUCUGGAGCCAGAGGGAGAGACCCCAGAAACUCCCCGGUCGGCGACCCAGCCCGAGACGCCUGGGGUCCCAAGGGAAGCUGAACGCCCGGUGGGCUCCCGGGAUGGUUCUUCCGGUUCUUUGUGCCGCCUUCACCCAGUGAAGGAGCCUGUAUCCACCCUGCCCAGUCGCUGUUGGGCUGCUGCGGAGCUUCCGCUGCCAUCUUCGGAUCCUGUGUUCCGCCCGGGGCUCCACCAGGGCAGGGAUGGUGGUGAGGGUCGCUCGUGGGUCCCCUGGCAGGGAGCAGGGUCUGGCACUCACAAGGGCGCACGACUAGGACUUGUCGAAUGAAUCCUUUGUCGCCUUUAGCUUUUAGUCCUUUGAAGAGAGCAGAAUGGGGAAAUGGAGAGAGAACCUGAAAGAGCCCCAAACUCGAGGACCUAUUGCUCCCCAAGAAUAACAUCUUCCAGAACUAGACAGAAAACUAGGCGUCUGGGAACCCUGAAAUCCUUGGAGGAGUAGAUCAUCAUGACCCUCUGUGUUCCUUUUGGCAAAUGACUUGCUUCCAUUGUUUGUUUGUUCAAUUGUCUGUUUGUUAAAUAAAUAAAACCCUUUUCAUGUAUCUUUAA
This 793-nucleotide long non-coding RNA is filed under the name Homo sapiens (human). RNAcentral describes it as "lncAB34.1". The record is from RNAcentral. Lineage: Eukaryota; Metazoa; Chordata; Mammalia; Primates; Hominidae.